GAUGAAGAACGCAGUGAAAUGCGAUAAGUAAUGUGAAUUGCAGAAUUCAGUGAAUCAUCGAAUCUUUGAACGCACCUUGCACCCUUUGGCAUUCCGAAGGGUAUGCUCGUUUGAGUGUCAUUGUACUCUCACACUUCCAAUCUUUGGAUUGGGGGCGGUGGACUUGGGUGUUGCUGCUUACUGUGGCUCACCUCAAAUUGAUUCGUGCACCUCUUGGUUGGACAUAGUACGGCGUGAUAAGUGUCUUCGCCGGCACCUCAGUAGAGGGUGGCUGAUCGGGAGCUCUGUGCUUCAAACCGUCCUCGGACAACAACUGACAACUUGACCUCAAAUCGAGUAGGACUACCCGCUGAACUUAAGCAUAUCAAUAAGCGGAGGA
RNAcentral lists this unclassified non-coding RNA (379 nucleotides) under soil metagenome. RNAcentral's name for it is "partial contains 5.8S ribosomal RNA, internal transcribed spacer 2, and large subunit ribosomal RNA". The stretch from base 1 to 120 matches the Rfam family "5.8S ribosomal RNA", at positions 35 to 154 of the family's 154-position model. The record is from RNAcentral.